Molecule: ribosomal RNA, 802 nt
Filed under: uncultured bacterium
Lineage: Bacteria
Description: bacterial SSU rRNA
Rfam family: Bacterial small subunit ribosomal RNA
Source: RNAcentral
CGGCGAGUGGCGAACGGGUGAGUAAUAUAUCGGAACGUACCCAAGAGUGGGGGAUAACGCAGCGAAAGUUGCGCUAAUACCGCAUACGAUCUAAGGAUGAAAGCAGGGGACCGCAAGGCCUUGUGCUCCUGGAGCGGCCGAUAUCUGAUUAGCUAGUUGGUGAGGUAAAGGCUCACCAAGGCGACGAUCAGUAGCUGGUCUGAGAGGACGACCAGCCACACUGGAACUGAGACACGGUCCAGACUCCUACGGGAGGCAGCAGGGGGGAAUUUUGGACAAUGGGCGCAAGCCUGAUCCAGCAAUGCCGCGUGAGUGAAGAAGGCCUUCGGGUUGUAAAGCUCUUUUGUCAGGGAAGAAACGGCUGUGGCUAAUAUCCACGGCUAAUGACGGUACCUGAAGAAUAAGCACCGGCUAACUACGUGCCAGCAGCCGCGGUAAUACGUAGGGUGCAAGCGUUAAUCGGAAUUACUGGGCGUAAAGCGUGCGCAGGCGGUUUUGUAAGUCUGACGUGAAAUCCCCGGGCUUAACCUGGGAAUUGCGUUGGAGACUGCAAGGCUAGAAUCUGGCAGAGGGGGGUAGAAUUCCACGUGUAGCAGUGAAAUGCGUAGAGAUGUGGAGGAACACCGAUGGCGAAGGCAGCCCCCUGGGUCAAGAUUGACGCUCAUGCACGAAAGUGUGGGGAGCAAACAGGAUUAGAUAUCCUGGUAGUCUAUGCUCUAAAUGAUGUCUACUAGUUGUCGGGUCUUAAUUGACUUGGUAACGCAGCUAACGUGUGAAGUAGACUCGCUCUGGGGAGUAUGGU